UUUUGUGUAUAGGUCCAUUUCUCAGAACCCUAUGGUAGUGUAUCAAUGAUAUUAGACUAUUGGUAGUGUUCUUGCUUAGUGCAGCACAGUUCAGCAUCUUUUUGGUCACUAUGACCUACAUUUUAUACUUCAGUGAUUUUGGUAAAGUUUUGUGUCGAGGAUUAUUUCUCAAGAACCUAAUGUAGUAUAUCAAUGAUAUUAAUGUAUUGUAGUGUCCUUGCAUAGUGCAGCACAGUUCAGCAUCUUCUAGAAUACCAUGACCUACAUUUUAUGCUUGAAUGAUUUUGGUCAAGUUUUGCAUUUACUGCCAUUUCUCGGAAUCUGUGGUAGUGUAUCAAUGAUAUUACACUGUUGUAGUAUUCUUGCACAGUGCAGCACAGUUUGACCUCUUUUUGGUCACUUUGACAUAUCUUAUGCUUGAGUGACUUUGGUUUAAAUUUGCCAUACAGCUCUUUUCAGCAGCAUUUUGGUCAAUUUUUACAUGAGAGAACAUGGAACCUCAUAUUGAUCUAAAUGGCAGGGCAUCUGUGGCUUACAGACACAUUUUCUAGUUUUUCUUUAUGUUCCUUAUGAACUUUCGCAACAGUAGAGUACGACAGAUUUAGCAUAGCUUUUACCGUUUUCGAGCUAUUAGGGGCCAAAGUGGUGCUAAAUAAAAAAAAAACCAAAAAAAAGUUUUUUUAUUACUAAUCAGAAUUCUCUGUCCAGCAUAUUACUGUGUCCAGCAUAUUAUUGUGUCCAGCAUAUUAUUGUGUCCACUUUAGUAGUGUGUCAAUGCUUGCCCAAAUGAACACCUGUUCGACCACUGCGGUCGUAUCAUGCUGCGCUUGGCGUAGCUCUUUAUUCUGGUAAUGCUUCAACCAAAUGAUAAUAUCUUUGGUAUGUAGCCUUAUUAUGAAGAGUUACAGAUUAAGUUAGAGUUUGGUGACGGUUCAAUGAUUUUCACGGAAGCUACAGCCCUUGGACAUAGAAAAAUUCAAUAUCAAAGAAAUUGUAAAUGUAAAACCACUGGCAGUGGGGCUAAACAAACCAAAUAUAAAAC
This 1042-nucleotide long non-coding RNA is filed under the name Mytilus galloprovincialis (Mediterranean mussel). The record is from RNAcentral. Lineage: Eukaryota; Metazoa; Mollusca; Bivalvia; Mytilida; Mytilidae.